AGCACACAUGGAGAAACAGAGCAUCACAAACACUUCUUCAACAUUUCCUUGGAUUCGAGGUUCUUACAUCGGAAGGGGAUGUUUCGGAACAGUAAGCAAAGCCGUGAGCAAAAUCGACGGUAGAGUGUUCGCCGUGAAGUCGGUAGACCUCGCCGCGUGUCUUCCUUCUCAAUCCGAGUCCCUCGAUAACGAAAUCGCAAUCCUCCGCUCUCUCAAGCCCCACCCGCACAUCGUGACGUUCCUCGGAGACGACGUGUCUAAAGAAGGGACGACGUCGUUUCGGAACCUCCACUUGGAGUAUUUACACGAAGGUGACGUGGCUAACGGUGGAACCAUCGUUAACGAAACGCUCCUCCGCCGUUACGUUUGGUGCCUCGUCUCCGCUCUCCGUCACGUUCACUCUAACGGAAUCGUCCACUGCGACGUGAAAGCGAAGAACGUCCUCGUCGCUGACGGCGGAAGGUCCGUUAAGCUGGCGGACUUCGGAUCGGCGGUCGAGUUGGAGAAUCCGACGGUUGCGAUCGCGCCGCGUGGCAGCCCGCUCUGGAUGGCUCCGGAGGUUGUCAGGAGAAAUUAUCAAGGACCGGAGAGUGACGUGUGGUCUCUCUUAAUUUAUAACAAUUUUGUAGUUCUAAGCUAAAAUAAAGAAAAAGUUCUAUGUAUAUGAUUGGCUAUUACGUGUGUCAUUUAAGAAUAGUACUUGAUUGGUAGAUUACCACCGAAUAUUCCAUGUUUGAAGGCGUAUUAACUCGGGUCAACAAAACAAAAAAAUAAAACUAACAACGCACAACCAACAACAAAAGUCAACAGAAAACAAACAUCCGAAAAUCAAUCGACACGUUUAGUUAGUUUGCCGUUCCCACGAUUCGUCGGAGAGAUCUCAUCACUUGUCGACCCUAACCAAAUGGCCUCAGCAGUAAAUCAAAACAACCAGUUUAUUUGUUGAAUAUUUUUAUAAAGUUAAAAAGAAGUGUUAAAAAUGAGAGCCGCUGACUUAUCCAUUUUACCAUAUUUGGGGAAACGAAUCAACGGACCCGAUCAGACGGUAGCAACUUGUUUCUUGUGUUGAUAAGGAUAAUAUGGAAAAUACUCGGUUUCUUUCGGAACAUCCCGAGAACUUCUCCAAGUGUGUCGUAUUGACGUCAUCAGACCGUUUUUCUGAUUAUCCAUCCAUAUGUCUGAUUUAAAAUAUAAUUAAACAUGUGGUAACGUUAUUAUUUAAUUUUUGAAUGUUAUUUUUUAUAACUUUUAAAUUUAUGUCAAACCUUUGUUAUUGGUUACAUAAUUUAUAAACGAAUUAAGGUUAUGUGUUAUUCAUUCAUAGAUAUUUACUAAUAUAUUUUAUUACACAAUAAAAUUGUGUGGAUUUGUAAAAAUCUAAAACUCAAGUCCAAAACCAAUUCUCCAAAUUUAUAAAUUAUCAUUAAAAUCUAAAUUACACCCUUUAAUGUUAAUUUAGCGUUACUGAAUCCCAAGUGGGAUAUUUUUUUUGUAAAUGGCUUCACGAUUUGAAAAUUAAUAAAGACAAAGUUGAAAAGAAACGUCCACGUCAGAAAUUAUAAAAAUGCCAACUUUAUUUCUCGUUCACAUUUGGCACUUCAACACAGGUAUAAAUACCGUCGUGUGUCCUCGAGAAUUUACACACGAAAGUUAGUUAGCAAACCAAGCAGCACACAUGGAGAAACAGAGCAUCACAAACACUUCUUCAACAUUUCCUUGGAUUCGAGGUUCUUACAUCGGAAGGGGAUGUUUCGGAACAGUAAGCAAAGCCGUGAGCAAAAUCGACGGUAGAGUGUUCGCCGUGAAGUCGGUAGACCUCGCCGCGUGUCUUCCUUCUCAAUCCGAGUCCCUCGAUAACGAAAUCGCAAUCCUCCGCUCUCUCAAGCCCCACCCGCACAUCGUGACGUUCCUCGGAGACGACGUGUCUAAAGAAGGGACGACGUCGUUUCGGAACCUCCACUUGGAGUAUUUACACGAAGGUGACGUGGCUAACGGUGGAACCAUCGUUAACGAAACGCUCCUCCGCCGUUACGUUUGGUGCCUCGUCUCCGCUCUCCGUCACGUUCACUCUAACGGAAUCGUCCACUGCGACGUGAAAGCGAAGAACGUCCUCGUCGCUGACGGCGGAAGGUCCGUUAAGCUGGCGGACUUCGGAUCGGCGGUCGAGUUGGAGAAUCCGACGGUUGCGAUCGCGCCGCGUGGCAGCCCGCUCUGGAUGGCUCCGGAGGUUGUCAGGAGAAAUUAUCAAGGACCGGAGA
RNAcentral lists this long non-coding RNA (2258 nucleotides) under Brassica napus (rape). RNAcentral describes it as "long non-coding RNA (BNAP_LNC026689)". The record is from RNAcentral. Lineage: Eukaryota; Viridiplantae; Streptophyta; Magnoliopsida; Brassicales; Brassicaceae.